Molecule: small nuclear RNA, 158 nt
Organism: Hibiscus syriacus
Lineage: Eukaryota; Viridiplantae; Streptophyta; Magnoliopsida; Malvales; Malvaceae
Product: U1 spliceosomal RNA
Exons: 1
Source: RefSeq, a predicted model, not a curated record
AUACUUAUUUGGUCGGGUCAAUGGACUAUCAUCAAGGUUCAUGGCCUAGGUAAGCGACCUCCAUUGCACUUGGGAGGAGUGCUCGCCUUAGGUAUCCUCACAAUUGGAGAGCCUACGUUAUAAUUUGUGGUAAUGGGUGAGUUUGAGCUUGAAUCGAG